This 403-nucleotide ribosomal RNA is filed under the name uncultured bacterium. Its description in RNAcentral is "partial 16S ribosomal RNA". It matches the Rfam family "Bacterial small subunit ribosomal RNA", at positions 28 to 526 of the family's 1533-position model. The record is from RNAcentral.
GACGAACGCUGGCGGCGUGCCUAAUACAUGCAAGUCGAACGCAGUGGGGACGGGUGAGUAACACGUGGGUAACCUCCCAUCAGAAGGGAUAACACUUGGAAACAGGUGCUAAACCGAUACUGAUGGAUGGACCCGCGGUGCAUUAGCUAGUUGGUGGGGUAACGGCUCACCAAGGCCACGAUGCAUAGCCGGCCUGGGAGGGUGAUAGGCCACACUGGGACUGAGACACGGCCCAGACUCCUACGGGAGGCAGCAGUAGGGAAUCUUCGGCAAGGGACGAAAGUCUGACCGGGAAACGCCGCGUGAGUGAAGAAGGUUUUCGGAUCGUAAAGCUCUGUUGUUAGAGAAGCGGUAUCUAACCAGAAAGCCACGGCUAACUACGUGCCGGCAGCCGCGGUAAUUC